UUUAUAUUCAUGGGACAUGCCUGCCAAUGUGUUGUCGUUUUUACGCUCAGGCUUGAGUUCAACAGGUGGUGUAUCCACUUUUAGAAGCACGCUGCUGGCACUCGUGCGCUUUUCUAAUGGUCUAUGAAGAAAGUCGCAUGAUCGCAUGAUAGGAUUCAGAAACGUAACAUAUUUGUUGGUGAUGACAGACACCUGUUUUCCUUGGAUAAAUUUAGGCUAAAUAUAGAUCACAAUGGCUGUGUUCAAGCAGCAGCAGGUCGAGACUUUCUAUGAGAUUGGAGAGGAAGUUGGGAG
Long non-coding RNA from Sinocyclocheilus grahami, 294 nucleotides. RefSeq lists it as uncharacterized. The record is from RefSeq and is a predicted model, not a curated record. NCBI's taxonomy places the organism in Eukaryota, Metazoa, Chordata, Actinopteri, Cypriniformes, Cyprinidae. The transcript has 3 exons.